UUGGAUUUUCAUCCAACGGCCCACACCCCUUGAUGAGGAGGAUCCUCAUCCUUAGCUCAGGAGAGGAUCCUGGUCCUUAUUAUACAUACAUGCAUGCCAAGAGUGCACCACUGGCUGGCCGGCGUCGACUGUGGAGGCCACACAUAUACUCGGUUUCUAUUGUUUUGACACGAAACAACUGCGAGUAACGCUACAUGUAUCGUAUUUCUGUUACUUUAUAAAAAAAUAUAUUACUUGACAAAUGACAAUUAACCCGUCUAUUACCAACAUGGAAAUUAUAAAUAAGAACGGGUGUUUAUGAGAUAAGAAAAUAGGUGUUCGAAAAUAAUUUUUCAAGAAAUAACUUAUACAUGGACACAAAAUAAAAACAAAAGGAUUUUUCUUUCUUUUGUUUAAAAGUCUGAAGGGAGAUAGUACAUCGUGUUGUUACCAAGGGCCAACCCGAUCCUCUUGCCCAAGGAUCCUAGAUGGAACCCUAGGAGAGCCACCUACUCUGACUAAUGACCAUGUACUAUUCAUACUAAAUAUGGUCAAUUGCACACUCUAUCUUCUCUACGUUCUUGACAACCAGUCUUUGUCUUAGUAAAGUCUUCCAGUUGCAUGCUAUGGCCUAAAAAGACUAGUAUCAUAUAAUGUGACCAAUUGUUACGACCAUAAAAUACGGUCACUCUCAUUACACAAAAUCCCUUAUUUUUGUGUUUCUAAUAUGUUGGCAUGUGACUGAUUUUUGCAAGAAAUUUCACAUAUAUGGAGCAUGGAAGACACAUUAAUGUUUUAACUAAUAAGAUGAUGAAACCAAAAGGUACAAUGUUAGUGAUGUCACAGAAGAAGUGAGGAGUAGAAAGAGUAUCACCAUUGCCAAGAAAUUUGGCCAUUAAAGUUGCCUGAGUAGUAGAAUCUCUUCUCUGGAUAUGCUUUUGAUUGAUGCAGCUGCAUGAGGUUUAAAUGCAGAGGUUUCAUGCCUGCAGGGUAGCAAAUACUCACAAAUUAAGUAAAAAUCUCAUUUGCUAUUUUCAAAAAUCAAAACAAACAAAUAAACUUAUUUUAAAAGAAAACACAAUUUUAGAGUUAAUUAAGUUAACUAGAACAAUGCAAGUG
RNAcentral lists this long non-coding RNA (1098 nucleotides) under Malus domestica (apple). RNAcentral's name for it is "long non-coding RNA (MDOM_LNC010155)". Lineage: Eukaryota; Viridiplantae; Streptophyta; Magnoliopsida; Rosales; Rosaceae. The record is from RNAcentral.